This is a long non-coding RNA of Mastomys coucha (southern multimammate mouse), 730 nucleotides long. RefSeq lists it as uncharacterized. The record is from RefSeq and is a predicted model, not a curated record. The transcript is spliced from 2 exons. NCBI's taxonomy places the organism in Eukaryota, Metazoa, Chordata, Mammalia, Rodentia, Muridae.
AGGGCGGGGCGGCAGGGCUUCGGAGGGGCGGGGAACGGGGGAGGGCGAGUUGAGUGGCUAGCACCACCAGCAGCCCCUCACCUCACCUUCCUAGCAAUCAGGCCACACCUCCCAACCUACAGGAGGAUUCCACACACCACGCCCCUUCGGGGGACUGACCGGAGCGGUUACUCAGGUGAAGGAAACUAAGGCUGGGAGAGCAGAACCUCCAACCGGCCUCGGCCAUCUAGACCCCUAAGGCGGACAGACAAUAGCUGGAUGUCAGGAUGGAGCCUGAAACACUUGGACUCCCCCUAAAAACAAUCCCGAUGGGUACAGGAUCCUCCAGUGACCCCUUAAGGAGGGGCCCAAGGUGUUGAAGGGUUUGCUGAGAGCCACCCAUUUUGGGACACCUGUGCAUGGAUUCACCAGCCAGUGCUGAGCUGAGGCUCCAGCUUAAAGCACCAUUCCAACUUACCACACUGCACCCCACCCCACCCAGAGCUUCAGGACUAAUGAAGAGGCAGGUGAGGAGCCAGGCCUCAGUACCUGGACCAGAACGCCCUGGACAGACGCAUUAGGAACUCCAAGACACUGGGCUCAGAAUCUGCAGGCACUUUGAGGGAGAAGAACUGAGAACUGGAACUCCCUGAGGAAGGCUUGUAGGGAAGGGGUGCUGGAGCCCAGCCACUCAGCCUUGAUUCUGGGUGACCCGAGGACCGACAUAAAAGGGUGUUAACUUAUUUUGAAA